Molecule: long non-coding RNA, 266 nt
Organism: Vidua chalybeata
Lineage: Eukaryota; Metazoa; Chordata; Aves; Passeriformes; Viduidae
Exons: 3
Source: RefSeq, a predicted model, not a curated record
UUAAAAGAGGGAUUCAUCACCCAGUGUGCAAUAAGCCAGUCUCGCACACAGAGCCCAGAGAUGUUCCUGUGAAGAUCAUUUCAUGAAGGAUGCUCUUUUAUUGUUUUAUUCAAUGUUGUUCAUUACCGUCAAAUCAAUCAAGUGGCUCAUCAAAAAACUCCCAGGGAAUUAUGGAAUGGAUGAGUCAUUAAGACCAGGAAGCUGGAAAAAGAAAUGUUAAAGGGGAGGAAAUGCUUUAUACUCAUCAAGGAAAACAUCUGCCAUGA